RNAcentral lists this ribosomal RNA (692 nucleotides) under uncultured Bacteroidales bacterium. Its description in RNAcentral is "bacterial SSU rRNA". It matches the Rfam family "Bacterial small subunit ribosomal RNA", at positions 65 to 750 of the family's 1533-position model. Lineage: Bacteria; Pseudomonadati; Bacteroidota; Bacteroidia; Bacteroidales. The record is from RNAcentral.
AGCAUUUCAGUUUGCUUGCAAACUGGAGAUCGGCGACCGGCGCACGGGUGAGUAACACGUAUCCAACCUGCUGAUAACUCGGGGAUAGCCUUUCGAAAGAAAGAUUAAUACCCGAUGGUAUAAUUAGACCGCAUGGUCUUGUUAUUAAAGAAUUUCGGUUAUCGAUGGGGAUGCGUUCCAUUAGGCAGUUGGUGAGGUAACGGCUCACCAAACCUUCGAUGGAUAGGGGUUCUGAGAGGAAGGUCCCCCACAUUGGAACUGAGACACGGUCCAAACUCCUACGGGAGGCAGCAGUGAGGAAUAUUGGUCAAUGGGCGCAGGCCUGAACCAGCCAAGUAGCGUGAAGGAUGACUGCCCUAUGGGUUGUAAACUUCUUUUAUAUGGGAAUAAAGUUUUCCACGUGUGGAAUUUUGUAUGUACCAUAUGAAUAAGGAUCGGCUAACUCCGUGCCAGCAGCCGCGGUAAUACGGAGGAUCCGAGCGUUAUCCGGAUUUAUUGGGUUUAAAGGGAGCGUAGGUGGACAGUUAAGUCAGUUGUGAAAGUUUGCGGCUCAACCGUAAAAUUGCAGUUGAUACUGGCUGUCUUGAGUACAGUAGAGGUGGGCGGAAUUCGUGGUGUAGCGGUGAAAUGCUUAGAUAUCACGAAGAACUCCGAUUGCGAAGGCAGCUCACUGGACUGCAACUGACACUGAU